This 187-nucleotide unclassified non-coding RNA is filed under the name rhizosphere metagenome. RNAcentral's name for it is "partial ribosomal RNA internal transcribed spacer region". The record is from RNAcentral.
GAGUUCAUGCCCUCACGGGUAGAAACGCCCACCCUUGUGUAUUAUAUCUUUGCUGCUUCGGCAGGCCGCCUUCGGGCACCGGCUCCGGCUGGAUCGUGCCUGCCAAAGGAAACCCAAACUCUGAAUGUUAGUGUCGUCUGAGUACUAUCUAAUAGUUAAAACUUUCAACAACGGAUCUCUUGGUUCU